AUCCAACCUGCCGUCUACUCUUGGACAGCCUUCUGAAAGGAAGAUUAAUACAAGAUGGCAUCAUGAGUCCGCAUGUUCACAUGAUUAAAGGUAUUCCGGUAGACGAUGGGGAUGCGUUCCAUUAGAUAGUAGGCGGGGUAACGGCCCACCUAGUCUUCGAUGGAUAGGGGUUCUGAGAGGAAGGUCCCCCACAUUGGAACUGAGACACGGUCUAAACUCCUACGGGAGGCAGCAGUGAGGAAUAUUGGUCAAUGGGCGAGAGCCUGAACCAGCCAAGUAGCGUGAAGGAUGACUGCCCUAUGGGUUGUAAACUUCUUUUAUAAAGGAAUAAAGUCGGGUAUGCAUACCCGUUUGCAUGUACUUUAUGAAUAAGGAUCGGCUAACUCCGUGCCAGCAGCCGCGGUAAUACGGAGGAUCCGAGCGUUAUCCGGAUUUAUUGGGUUUAAAGGGAGCGUAGAUGGAUGUUUAAGUCAGUUGUGAAAGUUUGCGGCUCAACCGUAAAAUUGCAGUUGAUACUGGAUAUCUUGAGUGCAGUUGAGGCAGGCGGAAUUCGUGGUGUAGCGGUGAAAUGCUUAGAUAUCACGAAGAACUCCGAUUGCGAAGGCAGCCUGCUAAGCUGCAACUGACAUUGAGGCUCGAAAGUGUGGGUAUCAAACAGGAUUAGAUACCCUGGUAGUCCACACGGUAAACGAUGAAUACUCGCUGUUUGCGAUAUACUGCAAGCGGCCAAGCGAAAGCGUUAAGUAUUCCACCUGGGGAGUACGCCGGCAACGGUGAAACUCAAAGGAAUUGACGGGGGCCCGCACAAGCGGAGGAACAUGUGGUUUAAUUCGAUGAUACGCGAGGAACCUUACCCGGGCUUAAAUUGCAGAUGAAUUACGGUGAAAGCCGUAAGCCGCAAGGCAUCUGUGAAGGUGCUGCAUGGUUGUCGUCAGCUCGUGCCGUGAGGUGUCGGCUUAAGUGCCAUAACGAGCGCAACCCUUGUUGUCAGUUACUAACAGGUUCCGCUGAGGACUCUGACAAGACUGCCAUCGUAAGAUGUGAGGAAGGUGGGGAUGACGUCAAAUCAGCACGGCCCUUACGUCCGGGGCUACACACGUGUUACAAUGGGGGGUACAGAGGGCCGCUACCACGCGAGUGGAUGCCAAUCCCAAAAACCUCUCUCAGUUCGGACUGGAGUCUGCAACCCGACUCCACGAAGCUGGAUUCGCUAGUAAUCGCGCAUCAGCCACGGCGCGGUGAAUACGUUCCCGGGCCUUGCACUCACCGCCCGUA
RNAcentral lists this ribosomal RNA (1275 nucleotides) under uncultured bacterium. RNAcentral's name for it is "bacterial SSU rRNA". It matches the Rfam family "Bacterial small subunit ribosomal RNA", at positions 119 to 1398 of the family's 1533-position model. The record is from RNAcentral.